Molecule: transfer RNA, 87 nt
Filed under: Mycoplasma todarodis
Lineage: Bacteria; Bacillati; Mycoplasmatota; Mollicutes; Mycoplasmatales; Mycoplasmataceae
Description: Mycoplasma sp. 5H tRNA-Leu
Rfam family: tRNA
About the family: Transfer RNA (tRNA) molecules are approximately 80 nucleotides in length.
Source: RNAcentral
ACCCAGGUGGCGAAAUUGGUAGACGCAGGGGACUUAAAAUCCCCCGGUAGCAAUACUGUGCUGGUUCAAGUCCAGUCCUGGGCACCA